This 253-nucleotide ribosomal RNA is filed under the name uncultured bacterium. RNAcentral describes it as "partial 16S ribosomal RNA". It matches the Rfam family "Bacterial small subunit ribosomal RNA", at positions 524 to 776 of the family's 1533-position model. The record is from RNAcentral.
UACGUAGGCAGCGAGCGUUGUUCGGAAUUACUGGGCGUAAAGAGUGUGUAGGCGGUGCUCCAAGUCUGUUGUGAAAUCUCCCGGCUUAACUGGGAGGGUGCGGCGGAAACUAGAGUGCUAGAGGGUGGGAGAGGUAAGCGGAAUUCCUGGUGUAGCGGUGAAAUGCGUAGAUAUCAGGAGGAACACCUGUGGUGUAGACAGCUUACUGGACCACUUCUGACGCUGAGGCACGAAAGCGUGGGGAGCAAACAGG